This is a long non-coding RNA of Camelus dromedarius (Arabian camel), 2226 nucleotides long. RefSeq lists it as uncharacterized. NCBI's taxonomy places the organism in Eukaryota, Metazoa, Chordata, Mammalia, Artiodactyla, Camelidae. The transcript has 3 exons. The record is from RefSeq and is a predicted model, not a curated record.
UAUCUUUAGUAUUAUGUCUUAAAAUUUUUACAUGGUUUUCAUAACCUUUUGCCUAAUAGCUGCUCACUGUCCAUCAAGUGGAUGUAACAGUUCCUUUUCUUGGGCAUUCCAGGCAUGUCUCAGUUUUUAUUGUUGCAAACAAUGCUAAAGUGAAUAUCAAUGUAAUUUUAGGAUAAUUUGGAUUGCUCUUUAGAAUCUAAGGCUACAUUCCCAGAGGUAGAAUUCCUUGAUCAGUGUGUGAGCUGUCCUGUGGCUUCCACUCCACCCUCCCAAUUUCUCUCCCCAAAAGCAAGUGCUAAAUUACAUUCUACUGUGAGAGUGUGCCCAGGAAGAAGGAAAACAAAUUUUUGAUAAACUGGUAGCAAUCUGCAACAAGACUCAAAAAGCAUGAGCCUUAUUAAAGAUUGAUAAAUUCAACUACAUUGCAUUAGGAAAAGACAACAUAGGAAUUAGAGUCCAUGAAGAUGAAAAGAUGCUCAAUGACGAAAUGUUUAUUGAGCACCGAGAAGUUGCCGGUCUCCAGGCUACAUGCCAGCAACAGAAACGCACAGAGGUUGCAGCUCCCACCGGGGCUACAGGAUACAGCUACUCAGGCUGUGCACUGCUCAACUCCAGGGGAUGCCCUCACAUCAAAGCUGUGUGGACGGGGCCCCUAGAGCUGCUAAGUGCACAACCUGUACAACCCUCAGAGCCCCGGCCCUGCUUCAGGGAGUGAAGAGUCCAGUGAGGAAGCAGAAGUUGCAUGGUAUCGAUCCAGGGGUCCACACUGCGAGGGGGCACAAGGGGCUGUGAGGACACCGGGCUCACCCCAUCCCCUCCUCUCAGAAGGUACUGCCAGUCCUGCCCCAGAAAAUAGCCCCUUACCUCCUCCCGCAUUCCCACCUCCCCAGACAGUCCUGCGCGUGUCCUCGCCCUCUUCUCUCCUCCCCCAGAGGAAGGGGCUGCCCUUCUAGUGACCCUUCCUCUGCCUCCACUCCAUCCUCUCUUUCUCCUGUCUCCUCCAGGGCCUAGAUCCAGUGACCAUGACACUCCCUUUUCUGUCUCCAUCCUCCUCCCCUUGUGACACAGGGAUUUACAUAAGAAACAGAUAUUUGAUCCUCCUGCCUGUUUCUGGCACAGAGUUCCUAAAACCCUUGAAAUUUCCUGUAACAGCAAAGGAGCGUCUUUUAAUAUCUAGGCUUUGUCCUUGGUUUCUGAAAUAGCUCCCGAGCAGCACAGGUCAGAGGAAUGUCUUGUUACUCCUGACAGGUCCCUUCAACGACACCUGAGUUUAUGCUAACGUGGCAACCGUGGAAAACACCCAGGCUGGGCUGGAGGCCUGGGUAACAGAGCACGUGAUGAGAGGGGGGCGCUUUCACCCCACCCCCUGAGGGGAGGGGAGGGGCUGGGGUCGAACCAGUCAUGUCAAAGGCUGAUGACUGGACCCGUCCCGCCCACGUAGGGCCCCCAUGAGAACCCAGAAAUGGCUGCUGCAUCGUGAGGGUGCUGGGAGGUGUGGAGCCGGGAGGGGCACGAGGCUCUGCUCCCCCCGCCCCGCCUCCCGCCCUGUGCAUCCCUUCCACAUGGCUGUUCCUGAGUUACAUCCUUUUACAACAAACCAGCAAGUAAACUGUUUCCUGAGUUCUGUGAGCCACUCUGGCAAAUUGAUGGACCCAGGGAGUGGGUCGUGUGGGCCCUAAUUUCUAGCCAGUGGAUCAGAAGCACAGGUGACAACCUGGACUGGUGAUUGGUGUCUGACGCCUGGGUGGGAGGGUGUUCUGACAAAUGCUACAGCAUGGAUGAACCUUGAGGACAUGAGGCUAAAUGCUCAGGCCAGACACAAAAGGACAAACACUGUAUGGUUCCACAUAUAUAAGAUACCUAGGCUAGUCAAAUUCAUAGACACCAAGUGGAAGGCUGGUUGCCAGGCGCUGAGUGGGCGGGGAAACAGUUAACUGUUUUUAUUACUGUUCAGUGGGUGCAGAGUUUCAGUUUGUGAAGAUGAAGAAAGUUCUGGAGAUGGGCCGUGGUGGUGGUUGCACAACAGUGUGAAUGUACUUAGUGCCACUGAACUGUACACUUAACAAAGGUAAAUUUUAUGGUAUGUGUAUUUUACCAGUAAAAGCUUUUCUUUCCUGGCAGUUCAAGUUACCUUCAGCUGGAUUCUUUCAAGGCUUGUUUUGAAGCUUUGUGAGGGUGCGUCACCCCCAGGAAAGGUUUGGGAUUUUAACGCCAUUUGGUUUGUAC